This 208-nucleotide non-coding RNA is filed under the name Ureibacillus sinduriensis. Its description in RNAcentral is "Lysinibacillus sinduriensis T-box sequence". It matches the Rfam family "T-box leader". From Rfam's summary of the family: Uncharged tRNA acts as the effector for transcription antitermination of genes in the T-box leader family. T-boxes are found upstream of many aminoacyl-tRNA synthetase genes and some amino acid biosynthetic genes usually in Gram-positive bacteria. The record is from RNAcentral. Lineage: Bacteria; Bacillati; Bacillota; Bacilli; Caryophanales; Caryophanaceae.
GAAAAAACGAUGAGAAAGAAUAGUACACUUGCCUCCCGUGCAAAGAGAGUCUGUGGUUGGUGCAAACAGAAGACGGAGCAAUUGGAAUGGACUUUUGAGUGGCUUUAUGAAAUGAGUAGUAAAGCACGUCACUUCACGUUACGAAGUCUAAGUGGUCAUUUUUGACAAACUGGGUGGUACCGCGGAUUCAACAUCAUUCGUCCCUUUA